This 253-nucleotide ribosomal RNA is filed under the name uncultured bacterium. Its description in RNAcentral is "partial 16S ribosomal RNA". It matches the Rfam family "Bacterial small subunit ribosomal RNA", at positions 524 to 776 of the family's 1533-position model. The record is from RNAcentral.
UACGUAGGGGGCAAGCGUUGUUCGGAAUCAUUGGGCGUAAAGAGCGUGUAGGCGGCCAGUUAAGUCCGCUGUGAAAUCUCGAGGCUCAACUUCGAGCUGUCGGUGGAAACUGUCUGGCUAGAGUCCGGAAGAGGAGAAUGGAAUUCCUGGUGUAGCGGUGAAAUGCGCAGAUAUCAGGAAGAACACCCGUGGCGAAGGCGGUUCUCUGGGACGGUACUGACGCUGAGACGCGAAAGCGUGGGGAGCGAACAGG